CUUAACAAUUUUUAAGUAGAAUUUUAAAAAUUGUUAGGUGCAAAAUAGUAUACUAUAGAGCAAAGAUUCCCAAAGUAGGAAACUACUUUUGACUAGGGGUCGACAUAAACAAGAACUGAUUUUGGGGGUCGACAAGGUCUAAAAAUCGACCCCUAUUAUAUUAACACAAGUUCUUACUUACAACUUUCAACAUAGAUAGGUAGGUACUGUAUUCGUUAUGUUGUGUUCCGUGUACUAAGAAUAAUUAAAAUUUUUGUAGGAAGUAGCAUUGGUGUUGUGAUGUAAAGUCUCAAGUUCGUACAAGAUGAAAAACCCGGUAAGUCUGUGUGGAGAAGUUUGUUCAAGAUAAUGAGUUCGAACGUACGUCUGCUCUCUAUUUAACGUUAACGCAGUUUAACAGGAACGAAUUCAUAAUCAAGUCCAAGCAUGUUCUUAAUAUUUUACUUUUUAACGAGCUUGCACUUAGGUUGAAAGGUUGUUUGCGUUUUCACAUUCGUUGGAGCCUGAACGAUAAUAGCUCAGAGAGACGUAAACUCUCAGUAUUCCAUGGGUUCACCGUGUGGGUACCGGGUUCAUCGCGUUGCAGGGAGAGGAGCUUCAACAGGACUUGCGACCCAGGUGUAAUUUCAAGAGGCCCCUACCUAGCGGAUACGAAAAAAAUGCAGAUAAUACAAUUAGGACUACUUGAAGUUCGGAUUUAUUGCAUCUCCUUCAAAUCAACACUUGCCGAUGUGGCUUAUAUGUGAAAAGUAUUUAGUAACGAUGACAUGAAACCUUCAAAAAUGGAUGUCAACUUAUCACGAGACAAAAAAAGUAAGCCCUUGUUAUUUUUUUAAGCACUUAGAGAAAAAUAGACAAAAGUCCAUAAGGUCGAUGUUUGCGUCAUCUAUUAAAGACGAUGAUGGUUUACGAGCGUCCUAUAAUACAUCUUCACUAAUAGCGAAAACAGGCAGAAAUUGGAGAGCAGCUUAUCUUACCAGCCAUUGCGGAGGUCCUUAACGUUGUAUUUCAAAAACCCGCACAAGAUAUUUUAAAGGGAAUACCUUUGAGCAAUAACACUGUUCAGAGGUACAUAGACGAGAUGAGACGCAAUAUGGAAAAUGAAGUCAACUUUACUCACUUAAAAUAGUGCAAAAUUUUUCAAUUGUUACCUCAGUACCUAGGUAUUGUGUAUCAAUAAGAAAAAACUAAUGAUUUAACUUAGAACAUAGUGAUUUUCGUUCUGUCUUCUUCUAUUUACCUAAGUCAGGAUGAAAAGUAACAGUCUAUAGCAGCUGUUUCAGCAGGCGUUAUCGAACUAUUAUGAAUAAGGGGGUUGAACUUAAAAGUAGGUAAUUUGGCCAUUGGGGUCUGAGAUUAAUUUUAGAAAAUUGGUCACUCGUCCCAAAAAGAUUGGAGAUCCCUGCUAUAGAAGACAUGACAUGUAUAAAAAUGAAAUAUUUUUUUCUUAAAUGCUUGGAGCACUGAAAGUCUUUCAAAUUAGCUCUCAUUUUUUAAAUAGGAGUAUGUAUGGUUUUCGGUUUUAGUAUGCUGUUCACUAUCCUAGAUUUAACGUAGAUAUCAUAUACGUAAACGAAGUUCCCCAGUACAUAUAUAAUUCACCAAUUGUUUUCAUAUAAAACCUCUUGCUUUCAAAAUAUUACUUUUCCUUUCUGUAGGCACUGCCCAAUGACUAUACAUCAGUUCCAUCAGUCAUCAGUACGUGCCCUGCUCAGUUUAUCAUAAAUUCUUGUUUUAUGAUUUUUUCGAGAUAUAUUUUUAUUAUCUGCAUUUAUAUAAUUAAUAAUAAAAA
Molecule: long non-coding RNA, 1792 nt
Organism: Danaus plexippus (monarch butterfly)
Lineage: Eukaryota; Metazoa; Arthropoda; Insecta; Lepidoptera; Nymphalidae
Exons: 3
Source: RefSeq, a predicted model, not a curated record